This 519-nucleotide ribosomal RNA is filed under the name uncultured bacterium. RNAcentral's name for it is "partial 16S ribosomal RNA". It matches the Rfam family "Bacterial small subunit ribosomal RNA", at positions 28 to 507 of the family's 1533-position model. The record is from RNAcentral.
GACGAACGCUGGCGGCGUGCCUAAUACAUGCAAGUCGAGCGAGUCUGCCUUGAAGAUCGGAGUGCUUGCACUCUGUGAAACAAGAUACAGGCUAGCGGCGGACGGGUGAGUAACACGUGGGUAACCUGCCCAAGAGAUCGGGAUAACACCUGGAAACAGAUGCUAAUACCGGAUAACAACAGAUGAUGCCUAUCAACUGUUUAAAAGAUGGUUCUGCUAUCACUCUUGGAUGGACCUGCGGUGCAUUAGCUAGUUGGUAGGGUAACGGCCUACCAAGGCGAUGAUGCAUAGCCGAGUUGAGAGACUGAUCGGCCACAUUGGGACUGAGACACGGCCCAAACUCCUAAGGGAGGCAGCAGUAGGGAAUCUUCCACAAUGGACGCAAGUCUGAUGGAGCAACGCCGCGUGAGUGAAGAAGGGGUUCGGCUCGUAAAGCUCUGUUGUUGGUGAAGAAGGACAGGGGUAGUAACUGACCUUUGUUUGACGGUAAUCAAUGAGAAAGUCACGGCUAACUACGUG